CAUAUCAAUAAGCGGAGGAAAAGAAACCAACAGGGAUUGCCCUAGUAACGGCGAGUGAAGCGGCAACAGCUCAAAUUUGAAAUCUGGCUCUUUUAGGGUCCGAGUUGUAAUUUGCAGAGGGCGCUUUGGCAUUGGCAGCGGUCCAAGUUCUUUGGAACAGGACGUCACAGAGGGUGAGAAUCCCGUACGUGGUCGCUAGCCCUUGCCGUGUAAAGCCCCUUCGACGAGUCGAGUUGUUUGGGAAUGCAGCUCUAAAUGGGAGGUAAAUUUCUUCUAAAGCUAAAUACUGGCCAGAGACCGAUAGCGCACAAGUAGAGUGAUCGAAAGAUGAAAAGCACUUUGGAAAGAGAGUCAAAUAGCACGUGAAAUUGUUGAAAGGGAAGCGCUUGCAGCCAGACUUGCCUGUAGUUGCUUAUCCGGACUUUUGUCCGGUGCACUCUUCUGCGGGCAGGCCAGCAUCAGUUUGGGCGGUUGGAUAAAGGUCUCUGUCAUGUACCUCUCUUCGGGGAGGCCUUAUAGGGGAGGCGACAUGCAACCAGCCCGGACUGAGGUCCGCGCAUCUGCUAGGAUGCUGGCGUAAUGGCUGUAAGCGGCCCGUCUUGAAACACGGACCAAGGAGUCUAACAUCUAUGCGAGUGUUUGGGUGUCAAGCCCAGACGCGUAAUGAAAGUGAACGGAGGUGGGAACCUUUUAGGUGCACCAUCGACCGAUCCUGAUGUCUUCGGAAGGAUUUGAGUAAGAGCAUGGCUGUUGGGACCCGAAAGAUGGUGAACUAUGCUUGAAUAGGGUGAAGCCAGAGGAAACUCUGGUGGAGGCUCGCAGCGGUUCUGACGUGCAAAUCGAUCGUCAAAUUUGGGCAUAGGGGCGAAAGACUAAUCGAAC
RNAcentral lists this ribosomal RNA (882 nucleotides) under Populocrescentia rosae. Its description in RNAcentral is "eukaryotic LSU rRNA". It matches the Rfam family "Eukaryotic large subunit ribosomal RNA", at positions 39 to 940 of the family's 3401-position model. Lineage: Eukaryota; Fungi; Ascomycota; Dothideomycetes; Pleosporales; Phaeosphaeriaceae. The record is from RNAcentral.